This 905-nucleotide unclassified non-coding RNA is filed under the name Hevea brasiliensis (rubber tree). The record is from RNAcentral. Lineage: Eukaryota; Viridiplantae; Streptophyta; Magnoliopsida; Malpighiales; Euphorbiaceae.
AGAAUCUCCAGGUUUUUUUUUUUUCUCUCUCUUCUCUUUCUUCUUUCUUUCAUUCUUUCUUCUUGCUUUUCUACUGUUUCUUGAAGAUAUGAUUUGGGUGGAUUUUUUUCCUGCUUCUUGAAGAAGUGAUAUGCUCCUCUGCCUUUUUGUUCCUUCGUUGAUUCUCACUUUUUUUUUUUCUUCUUUUUCUUUUGUUGAGUAACUUUUUUUUUCUUAGAGUCCAAUCCAAGGUUGUCGCAUGCAUCAGUGCCAAGCGUUUAAAGAUGGUAAUCAGCUGGUGAUUUAAAUGGGCUGCUAGCUUAAAUGGCUAUGGUUAUAAUUUUUUAUGUAUUUUUAAUUUUAUUUUUUAUAAAUUAAAUAUUAAAUAAAUUAUUUUUAUAUUAAAUACAUAAUUGUUUAUAAUAUAUUUAUAAAAUCUAAUUUAAAUAAUUUUAAAUUAUGUAUAGUAAAAUAUUAUUAAAUUAAAUAUACAGUAAAAAUAUUAAAAAUUAAAACUUUGAUACAAUUAAAAAUAAAUUAAUAUAAUACAUUUUAAUGAUAAUUUUAUUCACAUAUGUAGUUCAACAAUGCAUACUUCUUUUCGGAUUUAAUACUGCUUCUUAUAAUUCUUUUUAAUACUGCUUCUUAUAAUUCUUUGUUUUUAAUUCUCUUCUUUUUCUUCUUUGUAUAUUAAAUUAUUGACAUUAUGGGUAUCUUUAUUUUAAUAAAAAAAAAGGAAAAAAUGAAAGGGAUUUCUUCUUCUCCUUUAUUUCUUUGUCUUCUCCUUCUCCUCCUUCUCUUUGUGCAUUGAAAUGAAAUUGCUUAACCUAUCACCCAGAUUGCACUCCCAAGCGAUUUGAAACAUGCUAGCUAGAUCUUGAAAUCUAUCACCCCGAUCGAGCUCCCAAGCGAUUUGAAACAUGCUA